RNAcentral lists this ribosomal RNA (483 nucleotides) under uncultured bacterium. Its description in RNAcentral is "partial 16S ribosomal RNA". It matches the Rfam family "Bacterial small subunit ribosomal RNA", at positions 30 to 506 of the family's 1533-position model. The record is from RNAcentral.
AUUGAACGCUGGCGGCAGGCCUAACACAUGCAAGUCGAGCGGAUGAAGGGAGCUUGCUCCUGGAUUCAGCGGCGGACGGGUGAGUAAUGCCUAGGAAUCUGCCUGGUAGUGGGGGAUAACGUCCGGAAACGGGCGCUAAUACCGCAUACGUCCUGAGGGAGAAAGUGGGGGAUCUUCGGACCUCACGCUAUCAGAUGAGCCUAGGUCGGAUUAGCUAGUUGGUGGGGUAAAGGCCUACCAAGGCGACGAUCCGUAACUGGUCUGAGAGGAUGAUCAGUCACACUGAACCUGGAACACGGUCCAGCCCCCUCCGGAGGGCGGCGGGGGGAAUUAUUGACAAAUGGGCGAAGCCCUGUUCCGGCCUGGCGGGGUGUGUGAAGAGGGCCUUCGAUUUGUAAAGCCCUUUAGGUGGGAAGAAAGGCAAGUAGGUUAUACCCUUGCUGUUUUGCCUUAACCACCAGAUUAGGCCCCGGCUACCUUCGU